This 26-nucleotide non-coding RNA is filed under the name Mus musculus (house mouse). The record is from RNAcentral. Lineage: Eukaryota; Metazoa; Chordata; Mammalia; Rodentia; Muridae.
UCNCAGACCGCACCUGCUAAGGAUGG